AGCCGUCUGCAGGAGUCGACUAUUGGAAAUGCACCAGCAGAGGGCGCGAGAGCCCCACCAGUCCCUGCCCACUGACCUCUCCAGGAGGAGCUGCAAGGAAAGCCAGAGAACCCACAGUAGAGAAAAGGAAUGGAGGAAGGACACUAUGGAAGAGAAGAAUUGGAGAGAUGAGCAGGAAUAAGAGGACCUUGGGGAAGAAGUAAAGUUGGGUUUCAACCCCUGCUCAGUGAUAAAAUAUUAAACCUUAAAAAGUUUGUCUCUGGCAUCCUCCCAUUUCCUUUUCUAGACCCUGACUUGGGUCUAGA
Molecule: long non-coding RNA, 305 nt
Filed under: Canis lupus familiaris (dog)
Lineage: Eukaryota; Metazoa; Chordata; Mammalia; Carnivora; Canidae
Description: lncRNA (ENSCAFG00000058152.1, ENSCAFG00845007160.1)
Source: RNAcentral